RNAcentral lists this ribosomal RNA (465 nucleotides) under Vreelandella stevensii. Its description in RNAcentral is "partial 16S ribosomal RNA". It matches the Rfam family "Bacterial small subunit ribosomal RNA", at positions 338 to 795 of the family's 1533-position model. Lineage: Bacteria; Pseudomonadati; Pseudomonadota; Gammaproteobacteria; Oceanospirillales; Halomonadaceae. The record is from RNAcentral.
CCUACGGGUGGCUGCAGUGGGGAAUAUUGGACAAUGGGGGGAACCCUGAUCCAGCCCUGCCGCGUGUGUGAAGAAGGCCCUCGGGUUGUAAAGCACUUUCAGUGAGGAAGAACGCCUGGUGGUUAAUACCCAUCAGGAAAGACAUCACUCACAGAAGAAGCACCGGCUAACUCCGUGCCAGCAGCCGCGGUAAUACGGAGGGUGCGAGCGUUAAUCGGAAUUACUGGGCGUAAAGCGCGCGUAGGUGGCUUGAUAAGCCGGUUGUGAAAGCCCCGGGCUCAACCUGGGAACGGCAUCCGGAACUGUCAAGCUAGAGUGCAGGAGAGGAAGGUAGAAUUCCCGGUGUAGCGGUGAAAUGCGUAGAGAUCGGGAGGAAUACCAGUGGCGAAGUCGGCCUUCUGGACUGACACUGACACUGAGGUGCGAAAGCGUGGGUAGCAAACAGGAUUAGAUACCCGAGUAGUC